This is a ribosomal RNA of 310 nucleotides. It matches the Rfam family "Bacterial small subunit ribosomal RNA", at positions 549 to 873 of the family's 1533-position model. The record is from Rfam.
AAUGAUUGGCCAUAGAGCAUUUUUGUAGGUGGCUUUUUAAAUCCAUCAUCAAAUCCUAAGGCUCGAUCUUGGACAAGCGGUGGAAAUAUCAGGCUGGAGUAUAAUAGGGAUAAAGGGAAUUUUCAGUGGAGUAGUGAAUUGCGCAAAUAUCAGAAGGAACACCAAAGGCGAAAGCACUCUAUUGGGUCAACACUGACACUGGGAGACAAAAGCUAGGGAAGCGAAGGGGAUUAGAUACCUCAGUAGUCCUAGCCAUAAACGAUGGAUACUCUGUUGAAAAAAUAGCAUAUCAACAUGUUAUUUUAAGGGC